RNAcentral lists this small RNA (497 nucleotides) under Arabidopsis thaliana (thale cress). RNAcentral's name for it is "ATSL024910". Lineage: Eukaryota; Viridiplantae; Streptophyta; Magnoliopsida; Brassicales; Brassicaceae. The record is from RNAcentral.
UAUAAUUAAAUACUACCACGGGUAAAAUCGUAGAAUUGACGGGCUUGAUUCGAUAUUAAUAUGGGAUGGUGUACUACGGGUGAUAUUUUAGAAUUGACUGGUUUGGGUUGAUAAUAAUUUGCGAUAGAAUUAGGAGUGAAAUCCUAGAAUGACAAUUAAAAUAUAAUUAUACAAUUAAAUACUACCACGGGUGAAAUCCUAGAAUUGACGGGUUUGAUUCGAUAUUAAUAUGGGAUGGUGUACUACGGGUGAAAUCCGAGAAACAACAAUCAAAAUACAAUUAUACAAUAUUAAACAUUUAACAAAAUAAACAAAUACAACUUAAAACUUUAAAAUUUGAGUUAUAAAAUUUCGUCUCGCGGUGAAUUAUACAUUUAAAUCAAACAAUAGCAUAAAUUUAUUAAAUCAUCCUAAAAAAUAUUCAAUUAUUUUUUAUUUAAUAAAAAUAUAGGCCCGCGGUAUACCGCGGGUUAAUAUCUAGUAUUUUACAUUCUUUU